CAGUAAGCGCUCAAUCUUGAUCGUUCUAAAAAUUGUGACAAAUAUCAAUUGAAAAUGCAGAACCAAAAAUCAAUAGCUAAGAAUCACUUUCCUAAUUCACUGGCUAAUUUGUUUGGCAAUACAAAAUAGAUUUCCCCCCAAAUAUCCAUUUGACAACAGAAGAUACUCUUGUCAAUAAUUUCUGCACGGAGUUUCCAUCUCCUUUCUUUUCUCUGCCCAGGUUUGUAGGAGCAGAGGUAAGUCCAUUCAAAUACCUCAUCGCCCUCUGGAACCAGAUCAGCGAUUGCAGAGAAGGCUUGCCUGCGUGCUGCCCAAGUCACUCUUCCAAGUGCCCAUCUUGGCAUUCCUGUGUGCCAUCCCUCGCCUACCAAGGAGAGGGGUCCUAAACGAGAGGGAGGCGGCUUCCUUCUGGCAAGUCCCUGGGAGGACUCAGUUAGUUGUAAGCUAUCAGCAGCCAACACUUCAGGCACCUG
Molecule: long non-coding RNA, 473 nt
Organism: Neofelis nebulosa (Clouded leopard)
Lineage: Eukaryota; Metazoa; Chordata; Mammalia; Carnivora; Felidae
Exons: 3
Source: RefSeq, a predicted model, not a curated record